GCUAGUUGUACGAGUUGAGACUCGUAGCAGAUAGCUCAGUAACACGUGGCCAAACUACCCUAUGGAUCCAGACAACCUCGGGAAACUGAGGCUAAUCUGGAAUAGGGCUCUCAUCCUGGAGUGGAGAGAGCCUGAAAUGCUCCGGCGCCAUAGGAUGUGGCUGCGGCCGAUUAGGUAGACGGUGGGGUAACGGCCCACCGUGCCAGUAAUCGGUACGGGUUGUGAGAGCAAGAGCCCGGAGACGGUAUCUGAGACAAGAUACCGGGCCCUACGGGGCGCAGCAGGCGCGAAACCUUUACACUGCACGCCAGUGCGAUAAGGGGACUCCAAGUGCGAGGGCAUAUAGUCCUCGCUUUUUGCGACCGUAAGGUGGUCGCGGAAUAAGUGCUGGGCAAGACCGGUGCCAGCCGCCGCGGUAAUACCGGCAGCACGAGUGAUGACCGCUGUUAUUGGGCCUAAAGCGUCCGUAGCUGGCCGCGCAAGUCUAUCGGGAAAUCUCUCCGCUUAACGGAGAGGCGUCCGGUGGAAACUGUGUGGCUUGGGACCGGAAGACCAGAGGGGUACGUCUGGGGUAGGAGUGAAA
This 583-nucleotide ribosomal RNA is filed under the name Natrialba hulunbeirensis. Its description in RNAcentral is "bacterial SSU rRNA". It matches the Rfam family "Archaeal small subunit ribosomal RNA", at positions 53 to 637 of the family's 1478-position model. Lineage: Archaea; Methanobacteriati; Methanobacteriota; Halobacteria; Halobacteriales; Natrialbaceae. The record is from RNAcentral.